AGAAAAAUCAACGCAGCUUGAAACAACCAAAAUAUUUGUUGCUCAAUAAACUUAAAAUUUUGUUGACAUCAAGUAACAUUUGAUUAAUUCAAAGUCACUAAUUUGGUUGCCAUCAAUAAUGUUGAUUGGUUGUUUCUACCUUAAGCAAACAAUAUGAGUCAUUUGUUGUUUCAAACCAAGUUUUUAGUUAUCUUCAAGAAAACCGUAGUUUGUUUUUACCAAAUGUCAGGUUCUUUAAUUAUUGAUGUCAAACCAAGGAACAAACUAAAACUUCAGGAUGAUUCAACCAAAUCAACCCAUCGAGUUCAACUAAAAUUUUGGUUGGAGGAAAAAUGAUGUCGGUUUUAGUUUGAAAUUACCAAAUUCUUAGAUUGUUCGAUUCUGUCAUCGACAGCCCAUCGCUGGCUCGGUGUUCAGUGCAUAAACAACGCCAUUUGCCUUAGAUUGCAUGAAUUUGCCAACAACUCUUAAAACAUUUUCGUACGCAUCGGUUUCCAGUUUCAGUUUUCGCGGUACCGAGUGAAGCCACAUAGGAAUUCGUGCUGCUGUGGAUCUAGAAACCAGAAAGUAUUGCGAGGAGUCACGAUAUCGGUUUUAUUCCUUGGUAAAGAAUGGCGAAAACUCCAAUGGAUUGGGCUUCCGUAGAUCAGCAUCGUUUUCAGCGAGGUUUUAUUGAAAAACCAAGGAGGAAAAACCGACCAACGAAUCCUUAAACAAUUGCUACUGUAGCUAAACUGCAUUUUAUUAUAAUAAUGUAGGAUUAUUUCCAUUUGUGUUAUAUGUUUUGAGGUACAUAUUAAAAUUAUGUAAGCACA
This is a long non-coding RNA of Aedes albopictus (Asian tiger mosquito), 815 nucleotides long. RefSeq lists it as uncharacterized. The transcript has 3 exons. NCBI's taxonomy places the organism in Eukaryota, Metazoa, Arthropoda, Insecta, Diptera, Culicidae. The record is from RefSeq and is a predicted model, not a curated record.